RNAcentral lists this ribosomal RNA (338 nucleotides) under uncultured Pseudomonadota bacterium. Its description in RNAcentral is "bacterial SSU rRNA". It matches the Rfam family "Bacterial small subunit ribosomal RNA", at positions 115 to 487 of the family's 1533-position model. Lineage: Bacteria; Pseudomonadati; Pseudomonadota. The record is from RNAcentral.
AUGUGGGUAUCUGCCCUUUGGCCUGGAAUAACACGAGGAAACUUGUGCUAAUACCGGAUAAGUCUUUACGGAGAAAGCUUUAUGCACCAUUGGAUGAGCCCGCACUUGAUUAGUUUGUUGGUGGGGUAAUGGCCUACCAAGACUGUGAUCAAUAGCUGAUUUGAGAGGAUGAUCAGCCACAUUGGGACUGAGACACGGCCCAAACUCCUACGGGAGGCAGCAGUGGGGAAUCUUGCACAAUGGAGGAAACUCUGAUGCAGCGAUGCCGCGUGAGUGAAGAAGGCCUUUGGGUUGUAAAGCUCUUUCGUCGGGGAAGAAAAUGACUGUACCCGAAUAAG